UCCUCUUUUCCACCUACAUCUACAGAUGACACCACUACCACAACCACCAAGCGACUGAAGCGCUGAUCAAAGGGGAGAGCCUGGCCAAAGGGCAACCAGCCAUCCUUUUGGGGAAAUGAGUGAAAACAGUGAAGCAAUUGCAAAGUUGGAGCUUUUUAGGCUGCAGUCUGCAGAAAAGAAGAGGGAGCACCAGAGAUUAUUGCAACUCAAAAAACUGGAGAUAAAAGAAAAAGUGAGAGAAGAAAGAGAGCAAAAACACCAACUGGACCUGCUAGAGAAGCAGAACCAGAACCCAUCGACCCCAACGACUCCCAUCACUCCAAAAAUCCACAGAUGCAGCUCCAACGCCUGUGACAGCAGAGGAGUUGAGACCAGGAAAUUGCCAGACAGUUCUGCAAGGCACCUCCCCAUGGCUCUGUACCCAGCAGAGCGUGGCCGACUCAUUAAAGCUUGGUGAAGAUUAGACCAUGA
This is a long non-coding RNA of Chelonia mydas (Green sea turtle), 471 nucleotides long. RefSeq lists it as uncharacterized. Lineage: Eukaryota; Metazoa; Chordata; Testudines; Cheloniidae. The transcript is spliced from 3 exons. The record is from RefSeq and is a predicted model, not a curated record.